Molecule: ribosomal RNA, 475 nt
Filed under: Staphylococcus aureus
Lineage: Bacteria; Bacillati; Bacillota; Bacilli; Caryophanales; Staphylococcaceae
Description: partial 23S ribosomal RNA
Rfam family: Bacterial large subunit ribosomal RNA
Source: RNAcentral
UCCGCAUGGAAGGGCCAUCGCUCAACGGAUAAAAGCUACCCCGGGGAUAACAGGCUUAUCUCCCCCAAGAGUUCACAUCGACGGGGAGGUUUGGCACCUCGAUGUCGGCUCAUCGCAUCCUGGGGCUGUAGUCGGUCCCAAGGGUUGGGCUGUUCGCCCAUUAAAGCGGUACGCGAGCUGGGUUCAGAACGUCGUGAGACAGUUCGGUCCCUAUCCGUCGUGGGCGUAGGAAAUUUGAGAGGAGCUGUCCUUAGUACGAGAGGACCGGGAUGGACAUACCUCUGGUGUACCAGUUGUCGUGCCAACGGCAUAGCUGGGUAGCUAUGUGUGGACGGGAUAAGUGCUGAAAGCAUCUAAGCAUGAAGCCCCCCUCAAGAUGAGAUUUCCCAACUUCGGUUAUAAGAUCCCUCAAAGAUGAUGAGGUUAAUAGGUUCGAGGUGGAAGCAUGGUGACAUGUGGAGCUGACGAAUACUAA